This 706-nucleotide ribosomal RNA is filed under the name uncultured bacterium. RNAcentral describes it as "bacterial SSU rRNA". It matches the Rfam family "Bacterial small subunit ribosomal RNA", at positions 143 to 845 of the family's 1533-position model. The record is from RNAcentral.
AUAACCCGGAGAAAUCCGGCCUAAUACCGCGUAACACCUUUUGGGAGCAUUCCCGGGAGGUUAAAGGAGAGAUCCGGCAUAGGAUGGACAUGCGUCGCAUUAGGUAGACGGCGGGGUAACGGCCCACCGUGCCGACGAUGCGUAGGGGUUCUGAGAGGAAGGCCCCCCACACUGGUACUGAGACACGGACCAGACUCCUACGGGAGGCAGCAGUGAGGAAUAUUGGUCAAUGGCCGAGAGGCUGAACCAGCCAAGUCGCGUGAGGGAAGAAUGUCCUAAGGAUUGUAAACCUCUUUUGUCGGGGAGCAAAAAGGCUCUGCGGAGUCGUAUUGAGAGUACCCGAAGAAAAAGCAUCGGCUAACUCCGUGCCAGCAGCCGCGGUAAUACGGAGGAUGCGAGCGUUAUCCGGAUUUAUUGGGUUUAAAGGGUGCGCAGGCGGCGUGUCAAGCAAGCGGUAAAAUAGCGGGGCUCAACCCCGUCGAGCCGUUUGAACUGGCGCGCUUGAGUUCAGGCGAGGUAGGCGGAAUUCGUGGUGUAGCGGUGAAAUGCAUAGAUAUCACGAAGAACUCCGAUUGCGAAGGCAGCUUACCAGUCUGCGACUGACGCUCAGGCACGAAAGUGUGGGUAUCGAACAGGAUUAGAUACCCUGGUAGUCCACACAGUAAACGAUGAGCACGAGGUGUCCGGGUCGCAUGAGACUUGGGUG